Lynx canadensis (Canada lynx) is the source of this 108-nucleotide small nuclear RNA. The record is from Ensembl. NCBI's taxonomy places the organism in Eukaryota, Metazoa, Chordata, Mammalia, Carnivora, Felidae.
GAGCUCGCUUCAGGCAGCACAUAUACUAAAAUCAGAAGGAUGCAGAGAAGGUUAUCAUGGCCCCUGUGCAAAGAUGACACGCAAAUUCCUGAGUUACACACUCAUUUG